Molecule: transfer RNA, 77 nt
Filed under: Candidatus Thorarchaeota archaeon
Lineage: Archaea; Promethearchaeati; Candidatus Thorarchaeota
Description: tRNA-Thr
Rfam family: tRNA
About the family: Transfer RNA (tRNA) molecules are approximately 80 nucleotides in length. Their secondary structure includes four short double-helical elements and three loops (D, anti-codon, and T loops).
Source: RNAcentral
GCCCCAGUAGCUCAGCUGGUUAGAUCGCCUCCUUGGUAAGGAGGAAGUCGCGAGUUCGAAUCUCGCCUGGGGCUCCA